AGUUUAUUUCCUAACCAGUUUACAGAGUUUCUGAGCUCACCAAGACCCUAUUGUGAGUGGCGCUAGACAGCAAUGCAACACUGGCUGUACUUAUUCAAAAGGAUUAAGCCUAAGCCUGUUGCUGAGUACUCAGAGGUGCCAGAGGCUAGGUUUGGGUAGACAACGGAAAGCAGCAGUCUCUUUGUCCAACCUACCCAGUGGGAGAGACCUCAGCUGUCCAGAAUGGAAGCUGCAGGUCAGUACAUCUGCUUGUCUUCUGUACUUAGAAAUACAGUUAAAGGAAACAAAACUCCGUGACUUCACCUUUGGAUUAGUACUGAAAUUUUGCCUGUGUGUUAUUCCCCUAAUUACAAUUCCCAAAUUGUGGAGUGCAAUGAGAAAAAUAAGUUAUGCUGCUAACUACAAGUGUGAAAUGGAAAUGUAGCUACAAGAAAUUGAAUUAUUUCCAGAAAGAAUAAUUUUCCAAAGCUAUUGUUCAUUUAACAAAUACAAGAAAAAUGUGACAGUCAAUGAAAGGGAAAAUUACUGCUGAUCUUUUUUUUUUUUUUUUUUUUUCCAGGUCUUUUGUAAUGUUUUAUACCACUUUGCUGAUCUGACCUAGAGCACAGCCAUAUAAAGAGUUGCAUUGGCACAACUGAGCAGAAAAUAAAUUGGGGAUGAGGUUGAGAGAGUCA
Molecule: long non-coding RNA, 674 nt
Filed under: Anser cygnoides (Swan goose)
Lineage: Eukaryota; Metazoa; Chordata; Aves; Anseriformes; Anatidae
Description: lncRNA (ENSACDG00005005455.1)
Source: RNAcentral